This 253-nucleotide ribosomal RNA is filed under the name uncultured bacterium. RNAcentral's name for it is "partial 16S ribosomal RNA". It matches the Rfam family "Bacterial small subunit ribosomal RNA", at positions 524 to 776 of the family's 1533-position model. The record is from RNAcentral.
UACGGGGGGGGCAAGCGUUGUUCGGAAUUACUGGGCGUAGAGGGCUCGUAGGCGGCCAACUAAGUCGGACGUGAAAUCCCUCAGCUUAACUGGGGAACUGCGUCCGAUACUGGAUGGCUUGGAUUCGGGAGAGGGAUGCGGAAUUCCAGGUGUAGCGGUGAAAUGCGUAGAUAUCGAGAGGAACACCGGUGGCGAAGGCGGCCUUCUGGACAGUUACUGACGCUGAGACGCGAAAGCGUGGGGAGCAAACAGG